RNAcentral lists this transfer RNA (71 nucleotides) under Marmota monax (woodchuck). Its description in RNAcentral is "tRNA.Ala". The record is from RNAcentral. Lineage: Eukaryota; Metazoa; Chordata; Mammalia; Rodentia; Sciuridae.
GGGGUCGUGGCUUAGGGGCAGAGUGCUCGCCUAGCACGUGCGAGGCUCUGGGUUCAAUCCUCAGCACCACA